RNAcentral lists this ribosomal RNA (664 nucleotides) under Clostridium botulinum. RNAcentral describes it as "bacterial SSU rRNA". It matches the Rfam family "Bacterial small subunit ribosomal RNA", at positions 379 to 1060 of the family's 1533-position model. The record is from RNAcentral. Lineage: Bacteria; Bacillati; Bacillota; Clostridia; Eubacteriales; Clostridiaceae.
AACCCUGACGCAGCAACGCCGCGUGGGUGAUGAAGGUCUUCGGAUUGUAAAGCCCUGUUUUCUAGGACGAUAAUGACGGUACUAGAGGAGGAAGCCACGGCUAACUACGUGCCAGCAGCCGCGGUAAUACGUAGGUGGCGAGCGUUGUCCGGAUUUACUGGGCGUAAAGGGUGCGUAGGCGGAUGUUUAAGUGGGAUGUGAAAUCCCCGGGCUUAACCUGGGGGCUGCAUUCCAAACUGGAUAUCUAGAGUGCAGGAGAGGAAAGCGGAAUUCCUAGUGUAGCGGUGAAAUGCGUAGAGAUUAGGAAGAACACCAGUGGCGAAGGCGGCUUUCUGGACUGUAACUGACGCUGAGGCACGAAAGCGUGGGUAGCAAACAGGAUUAGAUACCCUGGUAGUCCACGCCGUAAACGAUGGAUACUAGGUGUAGGGGGUAUCAACUCCCCCUGUGCCGCAGUUAACACAAUAAGUAUCCCGCCUGGGGAGUACGGUCGCAAGAUUAAAACUCAAAGGAAUUGACGGGGGCCCGCACAAGCAGCGGAGCAUGUGGUUUAAUUCGAAGCAACGCGAAGAACCUUACCUGGACUUGACAUCCCUUGCAUAGCCUAGAGAUAGGUGAAGCCCUUCGGGGCAAGGAGACAGGUGGUGCAUGGUUGUCGUCAGCU